UGCGUAGGCGGAAAAUUAAGUCAGUGGUGAAAUCCUGCAGCUCAACUGUAGAACUGUCAUUGAUACUGAUUUUCUUGAAUACAGUUGAGGUAGGCGGAAUAUGUAAUGUAGCGGUGAAAUGCUUAGAUAUUACAUAGAACACCGAUUGCGAAGGCAGCUUACUAAACUGUGAUUGACGCUGAGGCACGAAAGCGUGGGGAGCGAACAGGAUUAGAUACCCAAUCAUCUGCU
This 231-nucleotide ribosomal RNA is filed under the name uncultured bacterium. RNAcentral describes it as "partial 16S ribosomal RNA". It matches the Rfam family "Bacterial small subunit ribosomal RNA", at positions 568 to 799 of the family's 1533-position model. The record is from RNAcentral.